GCAGACAGCUAUGGGUCGUACAGGUGUAAAGCAGAAAAUUUACUUGGUUAUGAUGAACACAUCAUCAAUGUCACCCAGACAGCUCUUCCUACUUCUCCGGUACCAUCGGAAAGUACACGCCAUGUACAAAGCUCGAUAGCAAUAGUUAACCGAGUAUCUACGUCUAAGUCGGUAGACAUAAGUUCAAUAAGCUCAACCAAUUUAGUAGUUUCAACACCAAAGGAACAACAAGGUAAAAGCUUAAUCAAAUAUAAUUUCCCUUCAGGUGCAAAUGAUA
Actinia tenebrosa (Australian red waratah sea anemone) is the source of this 277-nucleotide long non-coding RNA. Lineage: Eukaryota; Metazoa; Cnidaria; Anthozoa; Actiniaria; Actiniidae. The record is from RefSeq and is a predicted model, not a curated record.